This 2282-nucleotide long non-coding RNA is filed under the name Homo sapiens (human). RNAcentral describes it as "non-protein coding lnc-LRRC74B-6:3". Lineage: Eukaryota; Metazoa; Chordata; Mammalia; Primates; Hominidae. The record is from RNAcentral.
CUUUAACCUAAAUAGAUACAGGAUUUUGUGAUAUGCUGUAAUAUACAGAUUUUUAUUUCUAUAUGGAUAAAAAUUUAUAUGUUUUUUCUGACAUCAUUUAUUGAAUAGUAUAAUUUUUCUACUGACUUUUAGUAUCAUAUCUUUUAUUACAAGUCCAAUGUAUUCAGCAUAUCUAUGGAUCUAUUUCUUGGUGCUUCCAUUUUUUCCCAUUGUUUAACGGUGUAUCACUGAGCCAAAGCAAACCAUUUUAAUUAUUAUAAUUAAAACACAUUUAAAUAUUGAUAGGCUAUUAUUGUUCAAAAUAACUUUGGUUCUUUCUUUCCAUUGAUUAUUUUAAUAUGACUUUUCCAAUCAAGUUCUAAAAAAAUACUGGUGGUAUAUUUAUUGAAAUAACUUUAAUGAAAUUAAAUGAAAGAUCAUGUAUUUGUUUUCUGAAUUAAUUCUUAGAUACAUUAAUGUUUUAUGUUACCAUGAAUGUGAUAUUAUAAUAUAAUAUUUUUAAUUGGUUGCUACUGUUUAUAAGAAUUUCAUUUUCUGUUUACUUUGCCUUCAUAUCUGAAAACCUUGCUGAUUUGAUUAGUGCAUCCACAAAUUUUCUUGGAUUUUCUAUGGGUAAUUACAAAUCUCCACACAAUGAGGUUGCAGUGAGCCAAGAUCACACCACUGUACUCCAGCCUGGGCGACAGAGUGAGACACCAUCUCACAAAAACACAUAAACAAACAAACAGAAACUCCACACAAUGACAACGUAUGUGCUUUCUUUUUUUCUUCCUCUUUCUAUAAUAUUUCUUUGUCCUAUCUUAACUGAACUGGCCAGAAACCCCAGGACAAUGAUAAAUACGAGCAGUGUCAACAGACAUCUCAUUCCCUUUCCUAGCUUUUAUAAAAAUAACGAUUAUGCUUCAACAUUACAUAUGGUGGUGUCGAUGGUUUUGUUAUAGAUAAGCUUAUCAGGUUAAGAAAUUUGUCUGCGUUUCCUAGUUUGGUAUAAAGAUUUUAAUAUAAAUGAAUGUUGUAUUUUAUCAUCUUAUUUUUUUCCUACAUCUGCUAAGGUAAUCCUGUGUUUUCCCCUUUUCAAUCUCCUAAUGUGGUGAAUGACAUUAAAAUACCUUCUAUUGUUAAAAUAUUCUUGCAACGCUGUAUAGAACCAAUGCCUUUAUUCUGUAUUGCUGAUGGAUUUUUGAAAAAUAUGUAGGUGGACUUAGUUUUCUAAGGGGAAUAGAAUUUCUAAUAUAUUUAAAAUAUUUUGCAUGUAUGUUCUGAAGGACAUUGGUGUGUCAUUUCUAUACCAUCUGGCUACUAGAGGAGCCGACUGAAAGUCACACUGCCGGAGGAGGGGAGAGGUGCUCUUCCGUUUCUGGUGUCUGUAGCCAUCUCCAGUGGUAGCUGCAGUGAUAAUAAUGCUGCAGUGCCGACAGUUCUGGAAGGAGCAACAACAGUGAUUUCAGCAGCAGCAGUAUUGCGGGAUCCCCACGAUGGAGCAAGGGAAAUAAUUCUGGAAGCAAUGACAAUAUCAGCUGUGGCUAUAGCAGCUGAGAUGUGAGUUCUCACGGUGGCAGCUUCAAGGACAGUAGUGAUGGUCCAAUGGCGCCCAGACCUAGAAAUGCACAUUUCCUCAGCACCGGCUCCAGAUGCUGAGCUUGGACAGCUGACGCCUUGGAUCAUCUGCCACUGAUCUCUGGUCAACAUUUUUAUCACCCAACACAAAAGAAGCAGAGAUUUAUCAAGUUACUUAAACAACCUGACCCUUUCAUCUUUUGCUACACAUACUCUUGUAAUUGAUCUCUCCAUGAAUUGUUUUCUGUUUAAAAUAUCUAGAAUGUUUUCUGCUUCCUGACUUGAUUCUAAUAUUGUAUAGGUACUAGAAAUGGUUCUAGAAAUAGAUCUUUAUAGAUGAGAAUCUGGAAGUGGUUUGCUGACCUGUUUCAGUCUGAAUGAAUUCCUGACCUUGUUGUCGGGAGGAGACAGAAACCUGAUCAUCUGUAGUGUACGGUGGUAUCAUGAUUACUUAAAUCAUCAAAUGUGGUUAUUGGGAAUGAUGUGUUUUUUAAAGUGGUACAUGAGAGGUAAAAUUGCUAUUGUAGUUGACUGUUGCAGUUAUAAUUUUGUCAACAUGGUCUGUAAGAGUGCAAUGGAGUCGGCCCGGUGUGGUGGCUCACGCCUGUAAUCCCAAUACUUUGGGAGGCCAAGAUGGGCCGAUCACGAGGUCAGGAGAUCGAGACCAUCUUGGCUAACACAGUGAGACCCCAUCUCUACUAAAAAUACAAAAAAUUAGCCAUGUG